Molecule: ribosomal RNA, 2543 nt
Filed under: Salmonella enterica subsp. enterica serovar Javiana
Lineage: Bacteria; Pseudomonadati; Pseudomonadota; Gammaproteobacteria; Enterobacterales; Enterobacteriaceae
Description: partial 23S ribosomal RNA
Rfam family: Bacterial large subunit ribosomal RNA
Source: RNAcentral
GGCGGGACACGUGGUAUCCUGUCUGAAUAUGGGGGGACCAUCCUCCAAGGCUAAAUACUCCUGACUGACCGAUAGUGAACCAGUACCGUGAGGGAAAGGCGAAAAGAACCCCGGCGAGGGGAGUGAAAAAGAACCUGAAACCGUGUACGUACAAGCAGUGGGAGCACCCUUUGGGGUGUGACUGCGUACCUUUUGUAUAAUGGGUCAGCGACUUAUAUUCUGUAGCAAGGUUAACCGAAUAGGGGAGCCGGAGGGAAACCGAGUCUUAAUUGGGCGUUAAGUUGCAGGGUAUAGACCCGAAACCCGGUGAUCUAGCCAUGGGCAGGUUGAAGGUUGGGUAACACUAACUGGAGGACCGAACCGACUAAUGUUGAAAAAUUAGCGGAUGACCUGUGGCUGGGGGUGAAAGGCCAAUCAAACCGGGAGAUAGCUGGUUCUCCCCGAAAGCUAUUUAGGUAGCGCCUCGUGAAUUCAUCUCCGGGGGUAGAGCACUGUUUCGGCUAGGGGGCCAUCCCGGCUUACCAACCCGAUGCAAACUGCGAAUACCGGAGAAUGUUAUCACGGGAGACACACGGCGGGUGCUAACGUCCGUCGUGAAGAGGGAAACAACCCAGACCGCCAGCUAAGGUCCCAAAGUCAUGGUUAAGUGGGAAACGAUGUGGGAAGGCCCAGACAGCCAGGAUGUUGGCUUAGAAGCAGCCAUCAUUUAAAGAAAGCGUAAUAGCUCACUGGUCGAGUCGGCCUGCGCGGAAGAUGUAACGGGGCUAAACCAUGCACCGAAGCUGCGGCAGCGACGCUGAUGCGUUGUUGGGUAGGGGAGCGUUCUGUAAGCCUGUGAAGGUGGCCUGUGAGGGUUGCUGGAGGUAUCAGAAGUGCGAAUGCUGACAUAAGUAACGAUAAAGCGGGUGAAAAGCCCGCUCGCCGGAAGACCAAGGGUUCCUGUCCAACGUUAAUCGGGGCAGGGUGAGUCGACCCCUAAGGCGAGGCCGAAAGGCGUAGUCGAUGGGAAACGGGUUAAUAUUCCCGUACUUGGUGUUACUGCGAAGGGGGGACGGAGAAGGCUAUGUUGGCCGGGCGACGGUUGUCCCGGUUUAAGCGUGUAGGUGUGUGUUCCAGGUAAAUCCGGUUCACUUUAACACUGAGGCGUGAUGACGAGGCACUACGGUGCUGAAGCAACAAAUGCCCUGCUUCCAGGAAAAGCCUCUAAGCAUCAGGUAACAUCAAAUCGUACCCCAAACCGACACAGGUGGUCAGGUAGAGAAUACCAAGGCGCUUGAGAGAACUCGGGUGAAGGAACUAGGCAAAAUGGUGCCGUAACUUCGGGAGAAGGCACGCUGACACGUAGGUGAAGUGAUUUACUCAUGGAGCUGAAGUCAGUCGAAGAUACCAGCUGGCUGCAACUGUUUAUUAAAAACACAGCACUGUGCAAACACGAAAGUGGACGUAUACGGUGUGACGCCUGCCCGGUGCCGGAAGGUUAAUUGAUGGGGUCAGCGCAAGCGAAGCUCCUGAUCGAAGCCCCGGUAAACGGCGGCCGUAACUAUAACGGUCCUAAGGUAGCGAAAUUCCUUGUCGGGUAAGUUCCGACCUGCACGAAUGGCGUAAUGAUGGCCAGGCUGUCUCCACCCGAGACUCAGUGAAAUUGAACUCGCUGUGAAGAUGCAGUGUACCCGCGGCAAGACGGAAAGACCCCGUGAACCUUUACUAUAGCUUGACACUGAACAUUGAGCCUUGAUGUGUAGGAUAGGUGGGAGGCUUUGAAGUGUGGACGCCAGUCUGCAUGGAGCCGGCCUUGAAAUACCACCCUUUAAUGUUUGAUGUUCUAACGUGGACCCGUGAUCCGGGUUGCGGACAGUGUCUGGUGGGUAGUUUGACUGGGGCGGUCUCCUCCUAAAGAGUAACGGAGGAGCACGAAGGUUGGCUAAUCCUGGUCGGACAUCAGGAGGUUAGUGCAAUGGCAUAAGCCAGCUUGACUGCGAGCGUGACGGCGCGAGCAGGUGCGAAAGCAGGUCAUAGUGAUCCGGUGGUUCUGAAUGGAAGGGCCAUCGCUCAACGGAUAAAAGGUACUCCGGGGAUAACAGGCUGAUACCGCCCAAGAGUUCAUAUCGACGGCGGUGUUUGGCACCUCGAUGUCGGCUCAUCACAUCCUGGGGCUGAAGUAGGUCCCAAGGGUAUGGCUGUUCGCCAUUUAAAGUGGUACGCGAGCUGGGUUUAGAACGUCGUGAGACAGUUCGGUCCCUAUCUGCCGUGGGCGCUGGAGAACUGAGGGGGGCUGCUCCUAGUACGAGAGGACCGGAGUGGACGCAUCACUGGUGUUCGGGUUGUCAUGCCAAUGGCACUGCCCGGUAGCUAAAUGCGGAAGAGAUAAGUGCUGAAAGCAUCUAAGCACGAAACUUGCCCCGAGAUGAGUUCUCCCUGAGACUUAGAGUCUCCUGAAGGAACGUUGAAGACGACGACGUUGAUAGGCCGGGUGUGUAAGCGCAGCGAUGCGUUGAGCUAACCGGUACUAAUGAACCGUGAGGCUUAACCUUACAACGCCGAAG